GAUGAAGAACGUAGCGAAAUGCGAUAAGUAGUGUGAAUUGCAGAAUUCAGUGAAUCAUCGAAUCUUUGAACGCACAUUGCGCCCUUUGGUAUUCCAAAGGGCAUGCCUGUUCGAGCGUCAUUUGUACCCUCAAGCUUUGCUUGGUGUUGGGCGUCUUGUCUCUAGCUUUGCUGGAGACUCGCCUUAAAGUAAUUGGCAGCCGGCCUACUGGUUUCGGAGCGCAGCACAAGUCGCACUCUCUAUCAGCGAAGGUCUAGCAUCCAUUAAGCCUUUUUUUCAACUUUUGACCUCGGAUCAGGUAGGGAUACCCGCUGAACUUAAGCAUAUCAUAAGCGGAGGA
This 340-nucleotide unclassified non-coding RNA is filed under the name soil metagenome. RNAcentral's name for it is "partial contains 5.8S ribosomal RNA, internal transcribed spacer 2, and large subunit ribosomal RNA". The stretch from base 1 to 120 matches the Rfam family "5.8S ribosomal RNA", at positions 35 to 154 of the family's 154-position model. The record is from RNAcentral.